Long non-coding RNA from Lemur catta (Ring-tailed lemur), 2246 nucleotides. RefSeq lists it as uncharacterized. Lineage: Eukaryota; Metazoa; Chordata; Mammalia; Primates; Lemuridae. The transcript is spliced from 4 exons. The record is from RefSeq and is a predicted model, not a curated record.
CGGGCGGUGGGAAGGCGGGGGCGGCGUUCGGUGCGGGACUCAGCCCUGGGCUCGGGAGCAGGUGUUUGAAAAUGCGGGACCCACGGGGGGCUGGGGUGGGGGCCGAUAGUACUUCAGUAUAUGACGACGGGGCCUUGAUGGUGAAAGUGGAAGUGUUUGUAAACUGGAAACCGUAAGUCAGGGACUGUUUCUACAUCUACCGUGUCACUGAAACUGCUUGGCACAUCACUAAAAACUGAAGACCAAAUCCACAGGAGUAGAAGAAUCCUUAUAGACGUCUGAGAAAUCUUCAUUCAACAGACCUCAUUUGUAAGCAGCUCUCUAGUGAAUCACGAACUGUACCACGUGUUCAUAGCAGACCAUGUGUGGGAAAAUGAGUGUGGUGUUUGCACGUAAAAGCCAAAGUCCCACAAAAAUGAUUAAAUUGUCACUAGAUGACCUAGAGUUAAUUGAUUGAAUUCAGCACAGCAAUUUCUUUUAUCAGCCCGAGUGGAAGCUGGUAAAGAAGCCAAGAAUUCCCAGGCUUUCCCAGGCAAGUGUGGGGGAGCACUGGGGCGCCUUGUUCUUCUCCUCUGUCCAUCUGCAGGCCAAGUGUGCGUCGGCCACGGGCAAACUCUGAAUUGAGCUUUGUGCAAGUCUCUGGAAAGAACCCCAAUAUCAUGUGAUGAGCAAAAGUGACGGUAGUGGUGGCCAUGACAUCUGCAGAGUAGCCCUGUCCCUAUCUGCAGCGGAAUGCGUGUGGGCAUCUUUUAUGAGAACAAUCCACCCAGGAUAGAAUGGGGCUUUUGACAUCAGCGGAGACCAGGGCUGCUUACAAUGAGAGGCCUGUUGGUCAAAGGGAGGACUGUUUAAUGAACUGCGAAGCAGAGGCCAGCUCUGGCCAUCUGUACUUAGAAUCAUUAGAGCAACUCUUUACUGUCACUAGCGACAUUGUAUAGUACAAUAAAUUCAUAUUUCAAAAUUGUGAGCGUUAAAAUUUUCUUUGUGUGUGUGAUGAAAAACAUUAUAUAAAUGUUAGAUACUACCAUUUUAUUCGUAAGCAAGCCUGAAAAAGUAUCUCUCUUUUGGCUCUGAGGUCAGUAAUGAUAAUGGUUUUCUCCUUACACUGGAAAGCAAUGUUCUGUCAAGGACAUGAAAGCACUUUAUGAAAAUGAAAUUCAUUAAAGCCCUUAAUAAUCAGGUAAGGAUGGCAGGUGCUCACGAUUGUCACCCCUCUGUGAGUGAACACACUGAGGCUCAGGGAGGACAAUGACUCAGGAACAAGGUCGAAUCGCAGGUGGGAGGUGGAGCUGGUAUUUAAUGGUGUCCUCCACCCCCCGGCACUGGGGAAGGACAUGCAAGGCUUGCACUGACUUUUCCUGGCAAGCUUGUGAUUCCCAGCCAGAACGCAGGUGGCAAUGUUGUGAUUCCUGGCGUAACCUUCAAUGCUUCAACGAUAAUCUCUGCCAGUGCCAGGCACCAGCUGAGUGUCACUGUGCAACUCCCAGGCUUAAGUGAUGCAUGCCGAGGUUUUCGGAGCAGCCUCUCAUUUAUUAGUUGUGUUGGAAAGAAAUCUCUAAUACCUAACUGGAUACCUCUGGAUUUUAACAGCUGUGGUUUAUAAAAGAUUUGGGAAGGAGCUUGUUUUCAAAGUGCCUUUCAGAAAGUAUCACCUUAGAUUUGAGUUUCCAUUGUGUUCCAGUAGGAUAACUUGCAACACUUCUAUACUCGGAAACCCAAUCACGCAAGAAAAAUCGGGUUAUAUUUUCAUAUAGCCCAUUUUGGCAAAUGUGCCUCCAUACCUCUUUCCCUCUGCCUUGCCCUUUAUUGGCAAUAGUCCAGAUGGAAGAGUUUUAUGUCAAAUGUUGAGUAUCUUGGAAGAUGUCUUGCAAAGACAUGACUGCUUUGCGGGGUGCUGGAGAGUUGUCAUUGGACUGGGAAACCUGAAGGUCCCGUCUAGUCUGAGAUGUUUUGAUUUUAGAACUAAUUAAUCUCAACUCUUAACCUGAAAUGAUAAUAGCUACCAUUUAUUGGGCACUUUCCGUGUUCCAGGCUCUGUGCUAAAAUCUUAGCCUCAUUACUCUGACUGCUACCAAUCCCCCACCAAUAUUAUCCCCAUUAUACACAUGAAGAAACUGGGGUUUAGGGAAAUUAAAAACUUGUCCAGUGGCAUAAAUUUCAGAUUUAGUAACUGAUGCCCACCUGGAAAUUGAUUAUGGAGCAUUCUAAUUCUAUGCAUUAAGCCCACAAUUUAAUCAGAAUGAAAU